AUAACGACUCUCGGCAACGGAUAUCUCGGCUCUUGCAUCGAUGAAGAACGUAGCGAAAUGCGAUACUUGGUGUGAAUUGCAUAAUCCCGUGAACCAUCGAGUCUUUGAACGCAAGUUGCGCCCGAAGCCAUCAGGUUGAGGGCACGUCUGCCUGGGCGUCACGC
Molecule: ribosomal RNA, 164 nt
Filed under: Streptocarpus kamerunensis
Lineage: Eukaryota; Viridiplantae; Streptophyta; Magnoliopsida; Lamiales; Gesneriaceae
Description: 5.8S ribosomal RNA
Rfam family: 5.8S ribosomal RNA
About the family: 5.8S ribosomal RNA (5.8S rRNA) is a component of the large subunit of the eukaryotic ribosome. It is transcribed by RNA polymerase I as part of the 45S precursor that also contains 18S and 28S rRNA.
Source: RNAcentral